GCUGAUGUAGCUUGACUUAAAGCAUAACACUUAAGAUGUUAAGAUGGACUUAAGAGGUCUCAUAAGCA
RNAcentral lists this transfer RNA (68 nucleotides) under Johnius grypotus. RNAcentral describes it as "tRNA-Leu". It matches the Rfam family "tRNA". Rfam says of the family: Transfer RNA (tRNA) molecules are approximately 80 nucleotides in length. The record is from RNAcentral. Lineage: Eukaryota; Metazoa; Chordata; Actinopteri; Sciaenidae.